GAUGAAGAACGUAGCGAAAUGCGAUAAGUAGUGUGAAUUGCAGAAUUCAGUGAAUCAUCGAAUCUUUGAACGCACAUUGCGCCUUCCUGGAUUUUUCCGGGAGGCAUGCCUGUCCGAGCGUCAUAAAAACCACUUCAAGCCUGGCAUUUCUAAUGCCCCCAGUGUCUUGGUCUAUGAGGGAUGAGCGGCGUAAUAACGUGCUGCUCCCCCUCGAAUUCUAGUGGCGGGACAAUCUUUGAAAAGUUUCAGCCGGUGUAGUAACAAAUUCUUUUUUCUCUCGCCGCCGUUCGAAUCCGGACGAAACCAUGGAACAGCUCAUCGAUUUUGUUGUCCUUGCCAACUUUUAACCCAAAUUAUUAAAUGUUUUGACCUCGGAUCAGGUAGGGAUACCCGCUGAACUUAAGCAUAUCAAUAAGCGGAGGA
This 423-nucleotide unclassified non-coding RNA is filed under the name soil metagenome. RNAcentral's name for it is "partial contains 5.8S ribosomal RNA, internal transcribed spacer 2, and large subunit ribosomal RNA". The stretch from base 1 to 123 matches the Rfam family "5.8S ribosomal RNA", at positions 35 to 154 of the family's 154-position model. The record is from RNAcentral.